This 253-nucleotide ribosomal RNA is filed under the name uncultured bacterium. RNAcentral describes it as "partial 16S ribosomal RNA". It matches the Rfam family "Bacterial small subunit ribosomal RNA", at positions 524 to 776 of the family's 1533-position model. The record is from RNAcentral.
UACGUAGGGGGCUAGCGUUGUCCGGAUUUAUUGGGCGUAAAGAGCGUGUAGGCGGCCAGGUAGGUCCGGUGUGAAAACUCGAGGCUUAACCUCGAGAUGUCAUCGGAAACCAUCUGGCUAGAGUCCGGAAGAGGAGAGUGGAAUUCCUGGUGUAGCGGUGAAAUGCGCAGAUAUCAGGAAGAACACCAAUGGCGAAGGCGGCAUCCUGGACCGAUAUUGACGCUGAUGCGCGAAAGCCAGGGGAGCAAACGGG